UUCAGUCACUUUACAGGGAAGGAGGCUCUAAGCCAGGGAAAAGAUGCAACUUGUCCAAGUUGCAUAACUAGUUGGAAUCAGAAACCAGCUUUUCCUUUAUGUCUGAAGUGACAGUCAUAAUUUUUUAAAUGGUUUUGCGUCCAUUCCCAGAGUAAAAGCAUACGUUGACAGUCUCAGCUGGGAAACAAAAUUUCCAUUAUUUGCAUUCUUACCUUUUUCAGGUGUGGCCGAAGAUGGUGGUGGUGCUCCAGAAUUAGAAGUGAGAACAAUGUCUGUCAUGGAGCUGAGAAGCUGGAAUAGCUGGGGUAUUUUAUAACAACAUACAGCUCAUGUGUGGCCCACAUAUAGAUACAAGACAGCAUUCACCUCUUCUACCGCGUCAGGAUGCAGCAAUAAGGCACCAUCCCUGAAGCAGACAGAACAACUCUCACCAGACACGAAAUCUGCUGGUGCCUUGGACUUCCCAGCCUUCAAAACUAUGAAACAUAAAUGUCUGUUGUUUAAGCCA
Molecule: non-coding RNA, 508 nt
Organism: Macaca mulatta (Rhesus monkey)
Lineage: Eukaryota; Metazoa; Chordata; Mammalia; Primates; Cercopithecidae
Source: RefSeq, a predicted model, not a curated record